Molecule: non-coding RNA, 1350 nt
Organism: Paramuricea clavata
Lineage: Eukaryota; Metazoa; Cnidaria; Anthozoa; Malacalcyonacea; Plexauridae
Source: the annotation of a GenBank genome assembly
UGGCAGAUUUAUAAGGGCACGCAUGAGAAAAAAUGGAGACAUGAUUCGUGAUUAAGUAUGCAUUUUUUAUCUAUUAUUUCUAUAUAUGGUUAAUACAAGGUAAGAUAGCGAAAAACUGUCAGUAGUAUACCUUUAAAUAAUGCGCCAACUUUAAUUAAUCUUUUAGAUGGUUAUUGCGCUUCAGGUUGGAUUGCGCAUGGUCGUUAUUGUUAUCAAUUUCAUACUGAUCCCAGUGAGUACACAUCGUGGAUCAAUGCAAGAGACGCUUGCCGUCAAGGCCGAUAUUCAAGUGAACUCGGAGACUUAGUCAGGAUUGUCAACGUGUGAGUAAUUAAUUGAUUACUUCCAAUAUGUUGUUGUUGUUUAUUAAAGACAUGAUGAAUUGUAUAAAACUAAUGACCUGUUAAGAGUGAGUCAACAAUAAAGUCAACAAUAAAGUCCCCACGAUGAGCGUGAUUUUCCCGCCAUGUAUGACGUCAGGAACUAUUUUCCCGCCAUAUGAUGUCACGAAUUGUAGCAUAACAUUUGUUGCGUGACAUCAUCAUCAUCAUCAUCAUCAAUCAUUUUUAUUUAAAAUGAAAACACGCUAGCCUCGCACAACUGAAAGCUGAUUUACAGGAGGGGCGUGAUAUAUAAAAUAGUAAAAUAUAUAGAAUAAUAUAUGAACCCCCAACCUCCCCUCCUCCCUCAACAACAAAGAAAAAUAAAGUAAGUAAAGAGACUUAACUCUUAGCCUUUUUACUGUUGUAACAGUUCCGCGCGCUACUACGACGUGUGAUUAAAGCUACUAUUCAAUUAAUAAGCAUGCCUUAUAGCGUAUGUCUUUGAAACUCUGCACUAUCCUUGGAUUCCUAGUCUUUCUCGUCAUCACUAUCGAAAACAUCGCCGUUGUGAGAUGAGGUAAAUGCCCCGUUAUCCUAAUUAUCUAUCCAAGCUUUUUUUAUCUGUGCAGGAUGACUUGGCGUCACUCAGAUAAAUACGUCUUUCUUCACUUGAUAGACGGUGAAUGUCUGCCAAAUGAUUUGUUAAUUUGCAAAGGGUUUUUUUCAUAACUCGCCACAAAAUCAUAACGCAAAAGGUAAAUUUGCCAACCUCGGAUUUGAAGAGGCUUUCGAUAGAGAAAAAUAUGACACCAGUAACACUAGUUAUUGACAAUCCGACCCUGCAUCGAUCAUGUUAACGUCGAUCAUAUUGGAAAAAUUGACGUGUUUAACGGUACCUCGGGCCCCCAGGAGAACAACUUUAUCUACCGUAUGAACGCCAAGGAAACAAUCAAUCAUGUGGGACUCGGCUAGAAAAAAUGAAAAGCAGGUCACUACGUUGGAAGAAGAAACCGGUGUGAUUCUGGGU